RNAcentral lists this ribosomal RNA (480 nucleotides) under uncultured bacterium. RNAcentral's name for it is "partial 16S ribosomal RNA". It matches the Rfam family "Bacterial small subunit ribosomal RNA", at positions 28 to 507 of the family's 1533-position model. The record is from RNAcentral.
GACGAACGCUGGCGGCGCGCUUAACACAUGCAAGUCGAGCGAUGAAACUUUAACAGAACCCUUCGGGGCGAAGAUAAAGUGGAUUAGCGGCGGACGGGUGAGUAACACGUGAGUAACCUGCCUUAGACAUUGGGAUAGCCUCGGGAAACCGGGAUUAAUACCAAAUAAAAUCAUAAUGACACAUGUCAUAACGAUCAAAACUCCGGUGGUCUAAGAUGGACUCGCGUCCCAUUAGCUAGUUGGUAGGGUAAAAGCCUACCAAGGCGACGAUGGGUAGCCGGCCUGAGAGGGUGAACGGCCACAUUGGAACUGAGAAACGGUCCAAACUCCUACGGGAGGCAGCAGUGGGGAAUAUUGCACAAUGGAGGGAACUCUGAUGCAGCGACGCCGCGUGAACGAAGAAGGCUUUCGAGUCGUAAAGUUCUUUUAUAUGGGAAGAUAAUGACGGUACCAUAAGAAAAAGCCCCGGCUAACUACGUG